Molecule: long non-coding RNA, 544 nt
Filed under: Nicotiana benthamiana
Lineage: Eukaryota; Viridiplantae; Streptophyta; Magnoliopsida; Solanales; Solanaceae
Description: long non-coding RNA (NBEN_LNC032683)
Source: RNAcentral
UCACGGCGGGCAGCUUUGAAAGGAAAAGGGGAAUGAUUUUGCUCUCCAUCGUCACUCCUUCUCAGACCAGAGAAUUGGAGCAGUAGCCCUCCUUUCACUAGUAGUCGGACUCAUCCCUCUUUCUCCUACACCCACACAACCGUCCUUCCCUCUAACUCCAUCUCCCCAAACCUGAUGCCUUCCCCAUUUUACGUUUUAUGAAUCUUUAUUCUCUUAAAAACAUAAAAAAUAGACACACACACAACCUAAAAGAAACAUAAAACAGAGUGGGUGAACGGAGGGGUCAAGAAGGUUCAGCUGGGUCUUGGUCGAGUUUCUGUUGCCAUUUAUUCCAUCGAAUUUCAGUAGCUGUAGUUUUGUUUUACUGUCGACAUCUCUUGUGUGUACUGCUCAAAGGAAAUUUUAAUCGAAAAGCUUGACUAAAGGUCCGAUUCUUACUCUGCUUUCUGAAUAUUUAUUGUAUGAUUUUUGUGGAUUUUGAAUGUUUUGGAUUUUGGAUGAAUACCCCUCGAUGUGGAUGUGUUCUGUCAUCUUUGCGUUUGAA